CCUGGCGGCAGUAGCGCGGUGGUCCCACCUGACCCCAUGCCGAACUCAGAAGUGAAACGCCGUAGCGCCGAUGGUAGUGUGGGGGCUCCCCAUGCGAGAGUAGGGAACUGCUAGGC
Molecule: ribosomal RNA, 116 nt
Filed under: Escherichia coli
Lineage: Bacteria; Pseudomonadati; Pseudomonadota; Gammaproteobacteria; Enterobacterales; Enterobacteriaceae
Source: RNAcentral